This 1165-nucleotide long non-coding RNA is filed under the name Nicotiana benthamiana. RNAcentral's name for it is "long non-coding RNA (NBEN_LNC025439)". Lineage: Eukaryota; Viridiplantae; Streptophyta; Magnoliopsida; Solanales; Solanaceae. The record is from RNAcentral.
AAGACUUUAAGAGGAACUUCUAGUAAUUGGUGCAUUCGAAUACCGCUAAGUUUUCCAUCUACUAUCUGGUCAUGGGUCAAAUUCCGAAUGUUAAUUCUUGUUUUUGGACAAAAUGCCUUAUUCUUCAUUUCAUGUAUUCGAUUCCCUUCACUGGAUAUCUAAAUCUGUUCCCAAGCAGAGAGAUAGAGGGGUGCUAACUUGUUUCAUAUUUCUGUUGCCAAUAUCAUCUUUGUUUUUGUUCAGAUUGAUAUUUUCUCACCAAAGUUCACUAGCCUUCUAUUAUAUGAGUUACCAGAUGUCCACGAAAAAGUUAUGUACUUGUCAAGUUGAGUUGUUGCUGCUAGUAAGAGUUUUCAAUACCUGUAAUCACCAUAAUUGAUAUCCUUGUGGUUGUCUAUGUAUUAUCUCAUAUCCUGAUCUGGUGGUGUCGCUGUUCAGUUGCAAAUUUAGUCCUUGGUCUGGCUGCCAUCUGGAAAUUGUCUACUAUUCUGAAGGUGUGCAUGAUCCUAAUGAGUAGAGUUAAUAAAUAGAAACCUAAAUGAAAUACCCGGUGCAAACUACGUUCUUCAAUGUGGAAUUAAAAGAGGUAAUUGCUUCCCCUCAUGGGAGGUAAGCAGGUCAUGGGUGCCGAUGAGUGUCCAUUGGUUGCUCAAUUGUGAUAUUAGCAGUUCCCUAUGAUAAAAGAUGGAGCUCGAGUAUAUUCUUUGCAAUUCAUGAGGUAACUGUACAUGCUUUAGUAUCUAACUGAUUUGGAAGACGGGUUAGCAUGUCUGUGGAUUUUAUGAUUUCUGCUGCCAAUAUAUGUUGUUGCUUAAAUGUUAAUCGUUGUUAUACAGAAAACGGAGUCGUUCACUGUCCCCAAGGUGCCGCAAAAGUCGUUCUCCAGCCACCAGACAACAUAAAGUCGCUCUCCAAUGAACUAUAGGAGACAAAAAAGAAGUAGGAGUAUAUCAUUGUCUCCUAUUGGUAAAUCACCUGCUUCAAGUAUCGGAUCGAAAGAGCAAAAGGAUCUCAGUGAAAAAAUUAAAAUUGAGGAAGAGGAGAAGAAAAGGUAUAGCUGUAUACGUGAUCUUUUCAUUUUCUGCCCUUUCUAUCUCUUUCUUAUCUAGGAGUAAGCUAUGCUUUUAUUUUGAGAAUCUACUCUAGUUUUAAAGUUCUUUGAUAC